GGCUGAAACUACGCCUACAUGAUGCUGGAGUUACUAGUAAUCGCAGAUCAGAAUGCUGCGGUGAAUGCGUUCCCGGGUCUUGUACACACCGCCCGUCACACCACGGAAGUUGGGGGCGCCCGAAGCCACUUAGCUAACCCUUUGGGAAGCGAGUGUCGAAGGUGAAAUCAAUAACUGGGGUGAAGUCGUAACAAGGUAAC
Molecule: ribosomal RNA, 200 nt
Filed under: uncultured bacterium
Lineage: Bacteria
Description: partial 16S ribosomal RNA
Rfam family: Bacterial small subunit ribosomal RNA
Source: RNAcentral